CUCUCUUCUACUAGGGAAAUACAGAAACAACAUGUCUAAAGCGGAGAAAUUCCUAUGUGACAUACACAGAGAGACAAGCAGAUGAAAUCUGGGAGGAAAUUAAGAGUUUAUUCUAAAUAAGAAAAAAAAGAAAGGUAAGUUUCUGCAGUGGUGCACCUUAUAAAAUCCAAGUGAGCAAGAAAAACACAGGGCUCAUAAUUAACGACUAGAAAAGCUCUAGUAAAAUCAGGGGAGACUUUGAGAUUCUAGACUUCAUUAGCAGUUAAAGGAGAAAAAAAUUCCCAUGGCCGGAAGGUUAGAAGUUAAUUAGAAGAAGUGCUAAGGGAUUUGUUGUCUCACAGAGAGGCUUAUGAGGUAGUUUUAGGCUCUUUAUUGCCACCAUAAACGUCUCAUAUUAGUGAGCUCCCAGGAAGCAGAGAGCAAAUUCCCGAGGUUAUUUGGAACAGGCAGGUCUUGUGCGUCCAACACUCAGGGGUCCCCUACCCUGCCCAGUAAUGGGUGCUUUGGGACUUUUUGUCCAUUUGUUCUCAAACUAAACUUUAUCUUGAAUUAAAUAGAUACAGUUGGCUGGAGCACCAAGAACAGUUAAUAAUUCAAUUUAGAUGCAUACGCAGAUAACAGUGAACAAAGGAGAGGAGGACUGGAGGGGAGCAAAGGAAAUACAGCAGGAGCUAGUUCAUCUGGAAGAAUCAAGCGAUUUAAGAAAACAAGCAGACUUACUGCAUGCAAUUCAGGAACUGGGGGCAUUUUUCAUUUUUGUUUUCUCUGUUAUUUAUUUUCUUCACCUCAGGUUUCUGAAAACCAGAAACAGAUGGACUAAUCCAAGCUCCUCAGAACAGACGGCUUAUCAAACUCCCUGCCUUGAGGACCAGGGGCUCCCCUGCAGAGUGCAGGGUCCACGCAAUAAUUCACUCCAACUCUUCCACAUCAGGAAGAACACUCACAGAACUUUCAACAAUUAGCCUUUCCUUGGCCCCAUUAUCAACAACUGUGGGAAAGAUAUGUCCUUAUCUGACCCUGGAGGACGCAAGCCACCUAAGUGCCAGACACCAGACAUUGUUGCAGGGAGCAACCCUCACAAACAUAUGCAAAGAUGAACAGAGGAGGUGGAAAUGGGUGGUCUUGAUCAAUGCAUGCCUUGGCAUCCGGAGUUUGGUGAAAAAUGAGAAAUAAAGAUGCAUGUUGGAUGGAAGUACAGUGCAGAGUCAAAUAAAAUUGCCACCUCCUGCUUUACCUCAAUGACCCCAGUUGGUGCCUGUUCUUUCCCUCCUUUACCAUCAAAACACAACUACAGCAAAGCUGUUUUUACACAAAGGAAUAAUGCCUAAUAAAUAAAAUCCUAUUACUUCCCCUUACAUGACAGCAUCUUUUUGUUUUUUCUGUUUGUUUGUUUCUUGAGACAGGGUCUUGUUCUGUCCCUCAGGCUGGAGUGCAGUGGCACAAUCAUAGCUCACUGUCACCUUAAACUCCUGGGCUCAAGUAAACCUCCUGUCUCAGCCUUCCAAGUAGCUAGGACUACAGGACUAAAAAUUAGCCAGCUACAUGCCACCGUGCUUAGUUAAUUUUUUAAUAUUUUUGUAGAGACGGGGGUCUCGCUAUGUUGCCCCAGGCUGGUCUGGAAUUCC
Molecule: long non-coding RNA, 1625 nt
Organism: Pan paniscus (pygmy chimpanzee)
Lineage: Eukaryota; Metazoa; Chordata; Mammalia; Primates; Hominidae
Source: Ensembl